Long non-coding RNA from Bos taurus (domestic cattle), 862 nucleotides. The record is from Ensembl. Lineage: Eukaryota; Metazoa; Chordata; Mammalia; Artiodactyla; Bovidae.
CACACCAGGCCUCCAAGCCCAGCAGCACUGACGCUGGUGGAAAAAGUCAGGUGGACACAGGCCUGGCUGCUGCCUGCUCUACCACGUAUUGGGGUGACUUACCAAGAAAGAGUGAGGUUGUGGAGAACGAACAAUCAGGGCCCCCAGGACACACGCCUCUAGGGACUCCUGCCUUUGCUUACCCCCGUCCUGUGUGGACGCCAGGCUUGGUCCUGUGAUUCGGGGCAGCCAGUUCCACACCAACAGUGGCUCCAUAAGCACGUGCUCACGGGUUUGUCCUCGCAGAGAAGCUCAGCUGCACAGCUCAGUGUUAACGCCGUGUGGAGAGAAGCCCAGAGAACAAGAGGCCUCUGGGCCUCUCCACUGGGGUCAAGCUCCCAGCUGCAAGCAGCUUCACAGGAGGGGAGGUGGUCAGCCCCGGGGAGCAGAACCGCCCAGCUGAAGCCUGUCAACCACAGAAUCACGGGAAACAAUAAAGUGUUGCUGUAUGAGUCUGAGCUUUCAGAUGGCGUCUCACCCAAGCAACAGAUAACUCAAACAGAGGCACUGAAGCCUGGACCCCCCACCAGAGGAGAGGAACCUUACCCAUCCAUCUCAAGAAAAUGACUUACUCCUGGGGCCUCAGUCAACUGCCCAAGAAUGAAGUCAGCAGGCGUUAAUGAAGCCACAGUGAGGAUUCCCAACUACCCGGAUCAGUUUUGCCCCUCCUGGGAAGAGAUCCUGUUUCUGUCCACCAAUAGAAACCAAGAAAAUAGCUCUGGCCAUCUUGUGGAAGGAGGCAGGCUUUGCUGAACAAGCUGAAUGCAGCCACUCAACAAAGCCAAGCCCUCAGCUGGGAGCAGCAGGGGCCCUUUCUCUGGCC